UGUUUCUGUAUAUGUAAACGUAAUUUAACAUACGACUAUAUAUUUUGGUAUAUAUAUUAUAUACAGGGAAUAGGGAUACUAUAUAGUUGUUCCCAUAUACUCACUAAUCAUUUCAUGUUUGAUUAUCAUUUAUAUUAUAGAAAAAGUUUAUGAUCGUGACCCAAUCUAAAAGUUGAUCAUCACGCCAAUAAAGUCACUGGCGUAUAAAACCUUUUAAUCUUUUUCGUUUGUGUUACAGAAAGAAAGUGACGUUAACAUUUCAUUAACACUCCCAAUUCACUGUCAUGGACCCUAUCUUACAGUUCACUCGCUAGAUUACUUGAGAUUGCGAUUGUUACAUAUUCUGAAUAUCAAUAAAAUUGUAUUGUUUUCGUGCAGAUCAAAAUGGAUAAAUUGCCAGAUUUUUAACUCCACCCACGAAGGAGGCGGAACUCAUGUGGUGACACCAAGACACU
RNAcentral lists this long non-coding RNA (455 nucleotides) under Brassica napus (rape). Its description in RNAcentral is "long non-coding RNA (BNAP_LNC025120)". The record is from RNAcentral. Lineage: Eukaryota; Viridiplantae; Streptophyta; Magnoliopsida; Brassicales; Brassicaceae.